AUUGAACGCUUGCGGCAGGCCUAACACAUGCAAGUCGAACGAGUGGCGGACGGGUGAGUAAUGUCUGGGAAACUGCCUGAUGGAGGGGGAUAACUACUGGAAACGGUAGCUAAUCCCGCAUACCAUCAGAUGUGCCCAGAUGGGGUGAGCUUGUUGAUUGGGUAACGGCUCACCAAGGCGACGCUCCCUAGCUGGUCUGAGAGGAUGACCAGCCACACUGGAACGGAGAAACGGGCCAGACUCCUACGGUAGGCAGAAGUGGGGAAUAUUGCACAAUGGGCGCAAGCCUGAUGCACCCAUGCCGCGUGUAUGAAGAAGGCCUUCGGGUUGUAAAGUACUUUGAGCGGGGAGGCGUUACCCGCAGAAGAAGCACCGGCUAACUCCGUGCCAGCAGCCGCGGUAAUAC
RNAcentral lists this ribosomal RNA (406 nucleotides) under uncultured bacterium. Its description in RNAcentral is "partial 16S ribosomal RNA". It matches the Rfam family "Bacterial small subunit ribosomal RNA", at positions 30 to 526 of the family's 1533-position model. The record is from RNAcentral.